GAUGAACGCUGGCGGCGUGCUUAAUACAUGCCAGUCGAACGGUCAGGCGCUGCGGUUUCUCCUAUUACCUUACGGGCGAGCAACAGGUGAGCACUUGGCUAACCUACCUGGGAUACGGCGGUGACAUCGGGUAUACUAAGCUAAUGCCGCAUAGUAUAUAUGACCUCAUGGGGAAAUCGUUUACGGCGGUUUUUGUGCCACCGACCUAUGAACUCGGGCGGCAGUGGCUAGUUGGCAAGGUAACGGCUUACCAAGGCAACGAUGCGUAGCCGACCUGAGAGGGUGAUCGGCCACACUGGAACUGAGACACGGUCCAGACUCCUACGGGAGGCAGCAGUAGGGAAUCUUCCGCAAUGGGCGAAAGCCUGACGGAGCAACGCCGCGUGAGUGAUGAAGGUCUUCGGAUCGUAAAACUCUGUUAUUAGGGAAGAACAAAUGUGUAAGUAACUAUGCACGUCUUGACGGUACCUAAUCAGAAAGCCACGGCUAACUACGUG
Molecule: ribosomal RNA, 497 nt
Filed under: uncultured bacterium
Lineage: Bacteria
Description: partial 16S ribosomal RNA
Rfam family: Bacterial small subunit ribosomal RNA
Source: RNAcentral